Non-coding RNA from Glossina morsitans morsitans, 61 nucleotides. Lineage: Eukaryota; Metazoa; Arthropoda; Insecta; Diptera; Glossinidae. The record is from Rfam.
CUCUUUGGUUAUCUAGCUGUAUGAGUGAUUAAUAACGUCAUAAAGCUAGCUUACCGAAGUU